Molecule: ribosomal RNA, 936 nt
Filed under: Cystastrum externum
Lineage: Eukaryota; Fungi; Basidiomycota; Cystobasidiomycetes; Cystobasidiales; Cystobasidiaceae
Description: LSU rRNA
Rfam family: Eukaryotic large subunit ribosomal RNA
Source: RNAcentral
GCAUAUCAAUAAGCGGAGGAAAAGAAACUAACAAGGAUUCCCCUAGUAACGGCGAGUGAAGUGGGAAAAGCUCAACUUUGAAAUCUGGCACCUUCGGUGUCCGAAUUGUAGUCUCUAGAAGUGUUUUCCGUGCUGGCCCAUGUGUGAGUCUGUUGGAACACAGCGUCAUAGAGGGUGACAACCCCGUUCAUAACAUGGACCCCAGUGCUUUGUGAUACACUCUCGACGAGUCGAGUUGUUUGGGAAUGCAGCUCAAAUUGGGUGGUAAAUUCCAUCUAAAGCUAAAUAUUGGCGAGAGACCGAUAGCAAACAAGUACCGUGAGGGAAAGAUGAAAAGCACUUUGGAAAGAGAGUUAACAGUACGUGAAAUUGCUAAAAGGGAAACGAUUGAAGUCAGACGUGCGUGGUGCGGUUCAGCUCUGGUUCGCCAGAGUGUAUUCCGUGCCUUUGCAGGCCAACAUCGGUUUCACGAGGCGGAUAAAGGUUUGAGAAAUGUGGCACCUUCGGGUGUGUUAUAGUCUCUUGCUGAAUACGCCUCGAGGGACCGAGGAACGCAGCGCGCCGCAAGGCAAAGCCUCUGGGCUUUUCGCGCUUAGGAUGUUGGUGAAAUGGCUUUAAACGACCCGUCUUGAAACACGGACCAAGGAGUCUAACAUGCUUGCGAGUGUUUGGGUGUCAAACCCAUACGCGUAAUGAAAGUGAAUGCAGGUGGGAUCCUUUACCGGAGCACCAUCGACCGAACCGGAUGUUUACUGAAGGUUUUGAGUAAGAGCACGUAUGUUGGGACCCGAAAGAUGGUGAACUAUGCCUGAAUAGGGUGAAGCCAGAGGAAACUCUGGUGGAGGCUCGUAGCGGUUCUGACGUGCAAAUCGAUCGUCAAAUUUGGGUAUAGGGGCGAAAGACUAAUCGAACCAUCUAGUAGCUGGUUCCUGCCGA